Long non-coding RNA from Rhincodon typus (whale shark), 1305 nucleotides. RefSeq lists it as uncharacterized. Lineage: Eukaryota; Metazoa; Chordata; Chondrichthyes; Orectolobiformes; Rhincodontidae. The transcript is spliced from 3 exons. The record is from RefSeq and is a predicted model, not a curated record.
AAAGUGGUGAAGAUGAUGUUGUCCUUGGUGUUCUCAGUAGCUGGUCACAGCCACUCUUACCGAGUUUAACUCUGUAUGUGGUCUGACCAGUGUAAUCCCACUACACUCUCCACUGAUGUGUAUUCUAUAGUUCUGGCUAUAUAAUCCAGCUUUUCCAUUUACUUUUUUAACAAAUAAAAAUUGGCAAAUUGCUCUGAGGUGUGUUGAUCAACCACCCUGACUUAUUGAAUUUCCAAAGAAGGACUGAAGGAGAAAGCAUACUACGCUUUACUUUUUUACUGAUUCCUCAGGACAAAAACAAUGGUUUGCAACCCUAUCAGGACAGGACUCCCAGCUCACAGUGACUCAAGGAUUAAAUUAAAGCACUUCAACUUUCGAGUGAUAGAAAGCAAGUUUGGAAGGUCCUGGACCAUGCUACAUUUGAUACAGGCAAAAUUCCUUGACAUGAAAGUCCAGCUGAUCUUAACAGAAGGAUUUAAUAAAACUUUGCAGGUUGUUCUCUUGCUCCAUAGUCAGCCGAAUGGAACACCAAUGGCAAGAUGGUCUGGGAUCCUUGGGGGUGUCCUUUGGCAAUUGGAAGGAAGGAGAGACUCUACACACUAGGAAGACCAUCAGCUGGAGCUGGCAGAAAGUCAACAAUUGGAUCCAGCGGGAGGUUGAAUGCUUCUGAUGAUUAAUGACUGCAACUGGAUAGAUGGGAUUAGAGCAAGAUAAGCUCAUCCCUCCUUGUUUGACAGCAAACUUUCAGUGCUUUUUCUAUGGUCAACUGUCUCAGUGACUGCUGAUGGUUGAGAAGAUUGAGGAGUGAUGUAGGAUAUAAUUUGUAUCUUUGCUAUUGGUGCGGUGGAUAUGUGAUUGGAAUGGUUCAAACCUGGAAUUGUAAGAAAGGUGGGUAUAGACAACCCAUUCAGGGACUUUGGAAACGUGAAGUCAGGGAAGGGGCUUCAGCAUUCCUAAAUAUUAAACGUAUUUUGACCUACAUAUCUUCUGGUUGGAGCUCUUACAUGGAUGUAUUCUGAGACAAGUGGAAUUUCUCCUUCAUUUUACUGUUCCCUUGCUGCUUCUGGACACAACUUUGACAUGUUUAUAGGAGGGGAUAAGUUCAAAGAGCAUGUAUGGACAUUGAUAUUUACAAUCAUAAAUGGACUUUAAUGGGCUCCAAAAAAGCCUAUUUUCUGCCAUUUACCCUUCCAUUAUAACUUCCAUUGAAACAUUUCAAAGUCACCUAACUCUAUAUGUCACCAAUGAAAUAUGCCAGACAGUGCCACAAACAGCUGCAAUUUAGCAAGGGAAGUAACUUGAUCA